Molecule: ribosomal RNA, 484 nt
Filed under: uncultured bacterium
Lineage: Bacteria
Description: partial 16S ribosomal RNA
Rfam family: Bacterial small subunit ribosomal RNA
Source: RNAcentral
AUUGAACGCUGGCGGCAUGCUUUACACAUGCAAGUCGAACGGCAGCGCGGGCUUCGGCCUGGCGGCGAGUGGCGAACGGGUGAGUAAUACAUCGGAACGUGCCCAGUAGUGGGGGAUAGCUCGGCGAAAGCCGGAUUAAUACCGCAUACGACCUGAGGGUGAAAGCGGGGGAUCUUCGGACCUCGCGCUAUUGGAGCGGCCGAUGGCAGAUUAGCUAGUUGGUGGGGUAAAGGCCUACCAAGGCGACGAUCUGUAGCUGGUCUGAGAGGACGACCAGCCACACUGGAACUGAGACACGGCCCAGACUCCUACGGGAGGCAGCAGUGGGGAAUUUUGGACAAUGGGCGAAAGCCUGAUCCAGCAAUGCCGCGUGUGUGAUGAAGGCCUUCGGGUUGUAAAGCACUUUUGGCGGGAACGAAAAGGACCGUGCCAAUACCACGGUUCGAUGACGGUACCCGCAGAAUAAGCACCGGCUAACUACGUG